AGGGGAAUCUUGCACAAUGGGGGCAACCCUGAUGCAGCGACGCCGCGUGAGCGAUGAAGCCCUUCGGGGCGUAAAGCUCUUUCGACCGGAACGAUAAUGACGGUACCGGGAGAAGAAGCUGCGGCUAACUACGUGCCAGCAGCCGCGGUAAUACGUAGGCAGCAAGCGUUGUUCGGAGUUACUGGGCGUAAAGAGUGCGUAGGCGGUUUUCUAAGUUCGGUGUGAAAUCUCCCGGCUUAACUGGGAGGGUGCGCCGAAGACUGGGAAGCUGGAGUGUGGGAAAGGCAGGCGGAAUUCCUGGUGUAGCGGUGAAAUGCGUAGAUAUCAGGAGGAACACCGGCGGUGUAGACGGCUUGCUAGACCAUAACUGACGCUGAGGCACGAAAGCGUGGGUAGCAAACA
RNAcentral lists this ribosomal RNA (402 nucleotides) under uncultured bacterium. Its description in RNAcentral is "bacterial SSU rRNA". It matches the Rfam family "Bacterial small subunit ribosomal RNA", at positions 355 to 774 of the family's 1533-position model. The record is from RNAcentral.